ACAAAAGUAGAAUUAAGACAUCCGGGAUAAAUGACUCAGCUGAGCUCAAUGAAGCCAAAACAUGUGCGUCCAGGCUUAAUUGGUUGCACAAAGACCAAGCCAGGAUGAGCAGACACGGAUUCAUUAAGCCAGGUGAAACCAAUCCUGGAUAGGUGCGCGCUCACGGCUCACUCAAAUAGACCCCGCCACAGAUCACAGAUGAACUGAUUUACCAUGGCAACUAGAGCCGCGUACUUUUCCCGUCGGAAGCACAAAUCCUCAUGGAGGCAUACGAGGAGGUAAAAUAUAUAAUUAAGAAGAAAGGCAACACCGCCACAGUGAUAAAGCAAAGAGAAAAAGCGUGGCAAAGUAUUGCAGACCGCCUGAAUGCAUUAAACAUGAACGGGCCAAAACGGACAUGGCAGCAGGUCAAAAUCAAAUACAAGAACAUUCUGCAGAAUGCAGUGAAAAAGAAUACCCACAGACAAGGCACGGGUGGUGGGUCACCAAAGGCUGACCUUACCCCAGCAGAGGACAUGGCCUUGGAGCUAAAUAAAGGCAGGCCCGUCUUAGAGGG
Molecule: long non-coding RNA, 556 nt
Organism: Oncorhynchus tshawytscha (Chinook salmon)
Lineage: Eukaryota; Metazoa; Chordata; Actinopteri; Salmoniformes; Salmonidae
Source: Ensembl